UAAAAAUGUAUUUUAUUAUUUAUUUAUUUGAUUUUUUUUUACUUUUUUGCAUGCUUUAGUUAUUAGUUAGAAUUUAGAUUCAUCCUUUUUUAAAGUUAAUUUGUGUGCGACACUGUUAAGUGCCUAUAUAUAUCCUCACCUGUCUACAGUCAGACGCUAUAAAAACUGUUCACAAUUGCAUCAGCCAAUAGAAAACGCCGUAACCAGGGCUACAUUUUCAGGAGGGCGGCAUCUACCUACUUAAUGUCAGGAAAUCCACAGAGAACCUGAUGAUGCUCCAUGGAGAUGAAGCUUGAAUGAUAAAGACAUGUAUUACAGAAUCCUUUGCGUUCAAGUUGGAGCCAAGAAAAAUGGCACAUUACCCAAACAAAAUGGCUGCUUGUAGCACAGGAACCCUGGGAAGAUCUAUAAAAGGGUGCAUGUUUACAAUAGGCCCCUAUAUUUCUGGCUGUCGCCUUUCCGAUGCCUUUAUUAAUUACUGUGAGAUUAACCGUUGCCUGUAAACCCCUCUCAAUCAAUCAAACCGGGCCCCAAUUCCCAAGGGAUUGAAAGUCACUGGAUUACCAGACUGCACAUGAAUAUUUGUGAAUAAGAAUGCUCACAAAGAUCCCUGCUGAAGAAGCUCUUCUUGACACAACAACAGUAGCAAUCCAUGUGUGAAUUCACCCUGGACUAGCAUGAACAAUUCAGGCCCUAUUCACUCCAGACAUGUAUCAACUGAGUAGUUCCUCCAAAUGCUUUGUUGCUAGGCUGCUGUUUACACUGACCCAAACCAAACAUCCUCAUGUGUUACCGACUGUCUUCAAUGACAGCUGUCAGCUUGUGGUGUGUAGUUAGGAAUGGUUUUAUUUAUUAUUAUUAUUACAUUAAACAUAUUUGAAGAUAUAGUUCACCCAAAAAUGAAUAUUCUGAUGUUAUUUUUUGACCCUCAUAUCGUCUCAACUUGUGUGACUUUCUUUUGAAGGAUGUUUCAACUGCUUUUGUCCAUAGAAAUACAUUUUUUUUUUUUUUUUUUAUCAUGAGAACUCUCUAAAGAGUUUAGCAAUGGAAACGAGAAAAAUGUUAACUUAGACAUCCCUAAAAACAUUUAUUUUUUAUUGAAUGCAUAAUUACAUAUAAAUCAGACAGAUUCUCCCUAAAUCUUCUUUUUUUCCCUCCUUAAAAUGCCUACAACAUACUAUUUUUUUUUGUAUACAUUGAGAAAGUCUUCCAGUUUUGGAAUUGCACAUACCGACCUCUAGUCAGGUGACCACUGGAUUUACAGAAAUCAUUUCACUUUGAAGGAGACAAAUUUGUAUGACUGUAAAUUUUACAUACAUAUACUGUAUUUGUGCAUUUGCAACUUUUAAUAUGCUAGCAUAUAGAUAAUGUCAGCGCUAACAAGCAUACAUUCAAAGACACAAUUUAAUAAUUUUUUAAUUCUAAAAAGAUUGUUAUAUAUUAGUGUAAGGCAACCAGCCACAGCUUUCUGUGACAUUUCGGGAGUAAAAUAGUUGGUAGCACAUUAAUGAAAGUGGUAGCUCAUUUCAAAAAUUGUACAGCAGGGAUGGGCAACUUCAGUCCUGGAGGGCCACUGCCCAGCAGAGUUUAGCUCCAACCCUAAUCAAACAAACCUGAACCAGCU
Long non-coding RNA from Megalobrama amblycephala (Wuchang bream), 1624 nucleotides. RefSeq lists it as uncharacterized. The transcript has 3 exons. NCBI's taxonomy places the organism in Eukaryota, Metazoa, Chordata, Actinopteri, Cypriniformes, Xenocyprididae. The record is from RefSeq and is a predicted model, not a curated record.